Long non-coding RNA from Notolabrus celidotus (New Zealand spotty), 572 nucleotides. RefSeq lists it as uncharacterized. The record is from RefSeq and is a predicted model, not a curated record. The transcript is spliced from 2 exons. Lineage: Eukaryota; Metazoa; Chordata; Actinopteri; Labriformes; Labridae.
UGUUCCCCAUCAAGCUAAUCAAGACACUGCACUUAAGCUCUGUGGAGAGAGGAGUUGGGUGCCAGAGUACUCCCGCUUCUACAAUGUGCCUCCUCGAGCCUCCUGCACCUCCGCCAUAUCUCUGCCACGCUGCCAAGCUCUCCCUCCUGACACUCCCCUGCCUUCACCCCGAGCCUCACGCUUCACUCCUGCUUCUCCUGGAUCGCUCACCUUGGAUUUCCGAUCAAUCAUCCUUCACCUCACGGUUAAAAGAAAUACAAUCGCUUCAACUGCUUCCUCAGCUUCUGCUUGCAAUGCAACACAUAUCUAUGAAUGACUUUAAGAAGUGGAAGUGGGUCAGAAGUUGGGAAUACAUUAUAAAUGUGAGUCUGGCAGAAGCUGAUCACUUUUGGAGGAUGAUACAGACAAGGAGGGAGAACAAGAGGAGCGGAGGAGAGAAGAAGAAAUCACAGUUGUGGGUGAUGACAACUCUCUGCAUUGUAUAAAACUCAUAUAAUUUUUAUUUGCUCUUAGUUAAAUUAUUUCAACAAAUAUAUCCAAAUAAUAGUCAAAUAAAUGAGCAAAAAUCAAAA